ACUCAAAGGAAUUGACGGGGACCCGCACAAGCGGUGGAGUAUGUGGUUUAAUUCGACGCAACGCGAAGAACCUUACCAACCUUUGACAUGGGAAGUAUGAGUCUAAGAGAUUAGAUUCUUCAGUUCGGCUGGCUUCCACACAGGUGCUGCAUGGCUGUCGUCAGCUCGUGUCGUGAGAUGUUGGGUUAAGUCCCGCAACGAGCGCAACCCUCAUCUUCAGUUGCCAUCAGGUCAAGCUGGGUACUCUGGAGAAACCGCCAGUGAUAAGCUGGAGGAAGGUGGGGAUGACGUCAAGUCCUCAUGGUCCUUACAUGUUGGGCUACACACGUACUACAAUGGUGGUGACAAUGGGUCGCAAAGCCGCAAGGUAGAGCCAAUCCUAAAAAGCCAUCUCAGUUCAGAUUGCACUCUGCAACUCGAGUGCAUGAAGUUGGAAUCGCUAGUAAUCGCAGAUCAGCACGCUGCGGUGAAUACGUUCCCGGGUCUUGUACACACCGCCCGU
This 502-nucleotide ribosomal RNA is filed under the name uncultured bacterium. Its description in RNAcentral is "bacterial SSU rRNA". It matches the Rfam family "Bacterial small subunit ribosomal RNA", at positions 899 to 1397 of the family's 1533-position model. The record is from RNAcentral.